CUAACACAUGCAAGUCGAGGGGUAAGUUCAGCUUGCUGAAUACACGACGGCGCACGGGUGAGUAACACGUUUGCACCUUCCUCUAACUGGAGAAUAGCGCGAAGAAAUCCGGAUUAAUACUCCAUAAAGUCAAUGUAAGGCAUCUUUUAUUGAUUAGAGCUCCGGCGGUUAGAGAUGGGCAUGCGUGUCAUUAGCUAGUUGGUGAGGUAACGGCUCACCAAGGCCACGAUGACUAGGGGGUCUGAGAGGAUGAUCCCCCACACUGGUACUGAGACACGGACCAGACUCCUACGGGAGGCAGCAGUGAGGAAUAUUGGGCAAUGGACGCAAGUCUGACCCAGCCAUGCCGCGUGCAUGAUGACUGCCCUAUGGGUUGUAAACCUGCUUUUGUUUGGGAAGAAACCCCCGAUCGUGAUCGGGGCUGACGGUACCAUACGAAAUAAGCAUCGGCUAACUCCGUGCCAGCAGCCGCGGUAAUACGGAGGAUGCAAGCGUUAUCCGGAUUCAUUGGGUUUAAAGGGUGCGCAGGCGGAAUAUUAAGUCAGUGGUGAAAUCCUGCAGCUUAACUGUAGAACUGCCAUUGAUACUGAUAUUCUUGAAUAUAGUUGAGGUGGNCGGAAUGUGUAAUGUAGCGGUGAAAUGCUUAGAUAUUACACAGAACACCAAUUGCGAAGGCAGCUCACUAAACUAAUAUUGACGCUGAGGCACGAAAGCGUGGGUAGCAAACAGGAUUAGAUACCCUGGUAGUCCACGCUGUAAACUAUGAUCACUCGCUGUUGGCAAUACAUCGUCAGCGGCUGAGCGAAAGCAUUAAGUGAUCCACCUGGGGAGUACGGUCGCAAGAUUGAAACUCAAAGGAAUUGACGGGGGCCCGCACAAGCGGAGGAACAUGUGGUUUAAUUCGAUGAUACGCGAGGAACCUUACCUGGGCUUAAAUGCAGAGCGACGUCCGCCGAAAGGUGGAUUCCUUCGGGCGAUCUGCAAGGUGCUGCAUGGUUGUCGUCAGCUCGUGCCGUGAGGUGUCGGGUUAAGUCCCAUAACGAGCGCAACCCUUAUCGUUAGUUGCCAGCGGGUAAUGCCGGGGACUCUAACGAAACUGCCGGUGUAAACCGUGAGGAAGGUGGGGAUGACGUCAAAUCAGCACGGCCCUUAUGUCCAGGGCUACACACGUGUUACAAUGGUCGGUACAGAGGGCAGCUACCACGCAAGUGGAUGCUAAUCUCGAAAACCGGUCUCAGUUCGGAUUGAAGUCUGCAACUCGACUUCAUGAAGCUGGAUUCGCUAGUAAUCGCGCAUCAGCCAUGGCGCGGUGAAUACGUUCCCGGGCCUUGUACACACCGCCCGUCAAGCCAUGGAAGCUUGGGGUACCUGAAGUCCGUAACCGCAAGGAGCGGCCUAGGGUAAGACAAGUGACUGGGGCUAAGUCGU
RNAcentral lists this ribosomal RNA (1428 nucleotides) under uncultured organism. RNAcentral describes it as "bacterial SSU rRNA". It matches the Rfam family "Bacterial small subunit ribosomal RNA". The record is from RNAcentral.